Molecule: ribosomal RNA, 212 nt
Filed under: uncultured bacterium
Lineage: Bacteria
Description: partial 16S ribosomal RNA
Rfam family: Bacterial small subunit ribosomal RNA
Source: RNAcentral
CAGUUCGGAUUGUAGGCUGCAACUCGCCUACAUGAAGUUGGAAUCGCUAGUAAUCGCGAAUCAGAAUGUCGCGGUGAAUACGUUCCCGGGUCUUGUACACACCGCCCGUCACACCACGAGAGUUUACAACACCCGAAGUCAGUGGCCUAACCGCAAGGAGGGAGCUGCCUAAGGUGGGGUAGAUGAUUGGGGUGAAGUCGUAACAAGGUACC